GAUGAACGCUGGCGGCGUGCCUAAUACAUGCAAGUCGAGCGAACAGACGAGGAUCUUGCUCCUCUGACGUUAGCGGCGGACGGGUGAGUAACACGUGGAUAACCUCCCUAUAAGACUGGGAUAACUUCGGGAAACCGGAGCUAAUACCGGAUAAUAUAUUGAACCGCAUGGUUCAAUAGUGAAAUACGGUUUUGCUGUCUCUUAUAGAUGGAUCCGCGCCGCAUUAGCUAGUUGGUAAGGUAACGGCUUACCAAGGCAACGAUGCGUAGCCGACCUGAGAGGGUGAUCGGCCACACUGGAACUGAGACACGGUCCAGACUCCUACGGGAGGCAGCAGUAGGGAAUCUUCCGCAAUGGGCGAAAGCAUGACGGAGCAACGCCGCGUGAGAGACGAAGGUCUUCGGAUCGUAAAACUCUGUUAUGAGGGAAGAACAAAUGUGGAAGUAAAUAUGCACGUCUUGACGGUACCUAAUCAGAAAGCCACGGCUAACUACGUG
Molecule: ribosomal RNA, 497 nt
Filed under: uncultured bacterium
Lineage: Bacteria
Description: partial 16S ribosomal RNA
Rfam family: Bacterial small subunit ribosomal RNA
Source: RNAcentral